This is a long non-coding RNA of Solenopsis invicta (red fire ant), 2893 nucleotides long. RefSeq lists it as uncharacterized. The transcript is spliced from 2 exons. NCBI's taxonomy places the organism in Eukaryota, Metazoa, Arthropoda, Insecta, Hymenoptera, Formicidae. The record is from RefSeq and is a predicted model, not a curated record.
CCUGAAAAUGACAAAUAGAAAUGUGACGUCUUGCUUAGUGAAGUAAUGCAAACAUGAACGAAGUAUCUGCUAGUACUUCGUAAAAAUAGCUAAUACACGUUGCGCAAAUAAAGACACCAUGUACACUUCUAAUACACCUUUAAUAUAAUUGAGUCUAUUAUUUUGAAGAACUAUUUACGAGAAUUCAAACUUUAAAUAUUAGGAAUUAAUCUGAACUGGAUUUGACGAUUUUUUUGGCAAAAUUAUCAAAAUAAAUGACUCAAUUUUUACAUUUUUUUAACUAAAUGUAACGUGAAUUCUUUCUUUAUUUUUGUGAAUUUUCUAAUAUCCCUUUCUUUAAAAGAUUGCUAGAAACGAAUAGAUCAUGAAAAAUCAUUAGAUCAGAUUAAUUUUAGCAUAUGGGAUCUUCGCAUGGGCGAAAAGCAUGAUGUAAAAAUAUAUACUUAACAAAUUAAUUAUAAUUUACAGUUCAAAAGAAGAAGAAUGGAGUGUCAUAUUGGGAUUUCUACUUAUGGAUUUACUCCUGAUUUCCGAUUUUUCCUUGAUUAUGCAAGCUGACAACAAAGCGGGAUCGAGUUAAGCUACACUAGCAGAAGCGUUUAUUUAUAAAUUCUACGCAUGCAGCUCGUCUACAUUCGGAUGCAACUAAGUGUAUAAAACAUGCAAGCGCACGCUCAUCAUGCACGCACACACGCACGCACACAUCGCAAAACAUUAGCAACGCUAUUACAAUAACAGCGAUAAUAUAAUUUAGCGAUGACGGUAAUAAUUUACUUCUAACAAUAGUAGCAACAGUAAUCGUGAUGUACCCUUCACCAAGCAACGGGAACAAAUGACAUGGGCAACGUCAAUUAAUCUUUUGUUGAUUUUUGGUGAACUUGUUUCGUGCGUGACUCAUGUAGCAAUUAUCUCGCAGUAUAAUAAUCGUACAAUAUACUGUGAGCCGUGAUGUUAGUACAUAUGUAUUAAAAAAAAAAAGAUGCGGCGGUACGGUGUGUGAUGCUGCAUAAGUACAUGUAACAAGUGUGGUAUUAAGACAAAAUAAUUACUAAGGCACUAUGUAUAGAAAGAAAAAUAGUUCAAGCAAGGGCAGGUGUACUUCUAUAGCAAACUUACUAUACGUAGACCAUGCUGACUACAAGUGGGGAACUAACUUCAUGUUAAAAAGAGAGAUUAAAAUUAUCAUAAGAUCGAACGUGUAUUGUUUAUCGUAGUGAAAUGACAUUAAGUUAAAACUUAUUAUCAUAAGAAUCUUAUGAUAAGGAACAAUGCCACGUUCGACUAAAAUUCCCUACAGAGGGGUUAUUAUACGACAUAUCUCUCCUUCAAAUCAGUCUUUCAUGACUGAAGAUUGUCGUUUCUACUUGAUGAAUACUCAUGCAUGCUGGGAACUGUGUUGGCAAAGAUACUCUCGGUGGUUUGCCAUUGCCUUCCAAGAGGUGGUGAUCAAUUAAAAAUCUGAUAUAUUCUAGGUGGAUUUAAACUUGGAUUUUGGCAUAGAGAGCAGAUACGCAACUCUUACACCAUGAUCACCAUAUAUGACAUGUACAGAAAGAAAAAACAAUCGGGUGAUGAAGAGAAUAAAUGAUAUAAUAUCAUGCUUCUAUUUCUACUAAACUAUUUCGUAAAAUUAAAGCAAAACAAAAAAAAAUGAUAGCGUUUUCACACUAAUAUUUAGAUGGCUCCGAGAACGAUUACGGAAGUCGUGCGUUGAAUUUCAACGUCUAAUCCAAAUAUAAAAAAGAAAUGUGUUUGUAUGUGUAUACACAUAUACAUACAUAUAUACAUUUAAAUUUUUAUUAUAUACAUAUAUAUAUAUUUAUAUUUAUAUGUAAAAUGAUUAAUUUAACAAAAUAACUAAGAUAAUCUAUUAUGUCCAUAAUCUGAGUUUAUACGAUAGAAAAGUACUAUAUAUUUACAUAUAUACAGAAAAAUUUUGUAUUAUUGAUUAUAUUCAUAUUCUGUACAGUUUUAAUUAUUAGUUCUUCAAUUUUGAAUAAUUUAUGUACAUUUUUUAACUGCUACAUAUGUAUACAAUUAUUUAUACAUAUAUAUAUAAAAACUAUUUACAUUUAUACAAAUAUACAAAUUUUCAAACAAACGCGAAUAGAAAUUAAUCGGUUUCAGAGCACUUUGAUGUAAUCAAAAAUGCUACAGGGAAAAAAAAGAAUAAGAAAACAUAAAAAAGUGGAAAGAGAGAGAGAGAAUAUUCAUUUGAUAAGCUAUUUCUGGUUUUUCGUCAGAUAUAAACUAUUCAUUGAUCUAAAUAUUCUAAGAAAUAGUAAAAAGAAUGAAAGUAUCGGAAAAGAACGGAAACAUAUAUAUAUGUAACUUGCAUAAUUAUAUACAAUACAACUUCCAUUACAACUUACAAUAUAUGUAAAAAAAGGAAGAUGAAUAUUGUAUCGUCGAAAUGAUAAUGGGAAACUUGAUUACCAUUAUCAUUUCGACGAUGCAAAAUUUAUUUUCCUUUUUUUAUGUAUAUUACAAGUUACAUGUGUGUGUGUGUGUGUGUGUGUGUGUGUGUGUGUAAAAUUAUGCAAUUACAUAUAUACAAUCAUUAUAUAUUUAGUAAUAGUAGUGUGAGCAGAUGGCUUUAUACAUUUACUUGGCACAAGUCAUUACUCUUGAUUGUCUCUGGACAUCAUAUUUCUUCUGUGAUUCUUAUUAAAUUGUCAGUUUCAGUGCAAAUAUUAUGUACCGGAUUUCAUGAGAGUGUUUUCUUCCUUCCACUUAAUAUAGCUCUAGAUCCUUAGACCUAAUAUAGCCUUAAGCCUGACAAUUAGUUGGAAAGAGAUGUCUAGUGCUUUAUAUAGUCCCACUCGCUUUCUACUCUGUUAUUACUAAAUAUAUAAUAUAUAAAUUAUAUAUACAUAAUAUAUAUAUAUACAUA